CCUACGGGAGGCAGCAGUAGGGAAUAUUGCUCAAUGGGGGAAACCCUGAAGCAGCAACGCCGCGUGGAGGAUGAAGGUUUUCGGAUUUUAAACUCCUUUUGUGAGAGAAGAUAAUGACGGUAUCUAACGAAUAAGCACCGACUAACUCCGUACCAGCCGCCGCGGUAAUACGGAGGGUGCAGGCGUUACUCGGAAUCACUGGGCGUAACGAGCGGUUAGGCGGGAUAGCAAGUCAGACGUGAAAUCCUAUGGCUUAAGCAUAGAACUGCAUUUGAACCUGUUAUUCUAGAGUAUGGGAGAGGUAGGUGGAAUGCGUGGUGUAGGGGUAAAAUCCGUAGAGAUCAAGAGGAACACUGAUUGCGAAGGCGACCUGCUAGAACAUAACUGACGCUGAUGCGCGAAAGCGUGGGGAGCAAACAGGAUUAGAUACCCUUGUAGUC
RNAcentral lists this ribosomal RNA (440 nucleotides) under uncultured bacterium. RNAcentral describes it as "partial 16S ribosomal RNA". It matches the Rfam family "Bacterial small subunit ribosomal RNA", at positions 338 to 795 of the family's 1533-position model. The record is from RNAcentral.